RNAcentral lists this ribosomal RNA (473 nucleotides) under uncultured bacterium. RNAcentral describes it as "bacterial SSU rRNA". It matches the Rfam family "Bacterial small subunit ribosomal RNA", at positions 28 to 507 of the family's 1533-position model. The record is from RNAcentral.
GAUGAACGCUAGCGGCAGGCCUAAUACAUGCAAGUCGUACGGCAACACAGUUGCGAGCAAUCGCAACCGGUGGCGAGUGGCGCACGGGUGAGUAACGCGUAUGUAACCUACCCUUCUCCGGGACAUAACUCCGCGAAAGCGGUGCUAAUAUCCCAUACCAACUCAUCAAGACAUCUUCUUGAGUUGAAAGCAGCAAUGCGGUGAAGGAUGGGCAUGCGUCCCAUUAGCUGGUUGGUGAGGUAAUGGCCCACCAAGGCUACGAUGGGUAGGGGUUCUGAGAGGAAAGCCCCCCACACUGGUACUGAGACACGGACCAGACUCCUACGGGAGGCAGCAGUAAGGAAUAUUGGGCAAUGGUCGAAAGACUGACCCAGCCAUGCCGCGUGCAGGAUGAAGGCCUUCGGGUUGUAAACCUCUGUCUGGGGGGACGAGUAAGGACGGUACCCCCGGAGGAAGCCCCGGCUAACUACGUG